GAUGAACGCUGGCGGCGUGCCUAACACAUGCAAGUCGAACGAAGCACCUUACCUGAUUCUUCGGAUGAAAGUUUGGUGACUGAGUGGCGGACGGGUGAGUAACGCGUGGGUAACCUGCCCUGUACAGGGGGAUAACAGCUGGAAACAGCUGCUAAUACCGCAUAAGCGCACGAGGAGACAUCUCCUUGUGUGAAAAACUCCGGUGGUACAGGAUGGGCCCGCGUCUGAUUAGCUGGUUGGCAGGGUAACGGCCUACCAAGGCAACGAUCAGUAGCCGGUCUGAGAGGAUGAACGGCCACAUUGGAACUGAGACACGGUCCAAACUCCUACGGGAGGCAGCAGUGGGGAAUAUUGCACAAUGGGGGAAACCCUGAUGCAGCAACGCCGCGUGAGUGAAGAAGUAUUUCGGUAUGUAAAGCUCUAUCAGCAGGGAAGAUAAUGACGGUACCUGACUAAGAAGCUCCGGCUAAAUACGUG
RNAcentral lists this ribosomal RNA (477 nucleotides) under uncultured bacterium. RNAcentral describes it as "partial 16S ribosomal RNA". It matches the Rfam family "Bacterial small subunit ribosomal RNA", at positions 28 to 507 of the family's 1533-position model. The record is from RNAcentral.